This 253-nucleotide ribosomal RNA is filed under the name uncultured bacterium. RNAcentral describes it as "partial 16S ribosomal RNA". It matches the Rfam family "Bacterial small subunit ribosomal RNA", at positions 524 to 776 of the family's 1533-position model. The record is from RNAcentral.
UACGUAGGGGGCAAGCGUUGUCCGGAUUCAUUGGGCGUAAAGAGCGUGUAGGCGGCCAGGUAGGUCGGUUGUGAAAACUGGAGGCUCAACCUUCAGACGUCGACCGAAACCAUCUGGCUAGAGUCCGGGAGAGGAGAGUGGAAUUCCUGGUGUAGCGGUGAAAUGCGCAGAUAUCAGGAAGAACACCCGUGGCGAAAGCGGCUCUCUGGACAGGUACUGACGCUGAGACGCGAAAGCGUGGGGAGCGAACAGG